GAUGAACGCUGGCGGCGUGCUUAACACAUGCAAGUCGAACGGAAAGGCUCCUGCUUGCAGGGGUACUCGAGUGGCGAACGGGUGAGUAACACGUGGGUGAUCUGCCCUGCACUUCGGGAUAAGCCUGGGAAACUGGGUCUAAUACCGGAUAGGACGAUGGUUUGGAUGCCAUUGUGGAAAGUUUUUUCGGUUUGGGGUGAGCUCGCGGCCUAUCAGCUUGCUGGUGGGGUAAUGGCCUACCAAGGCGUCGACGGGUAGCCCGCCUGAGAGUGUGUACCGCGACAUUGGGACUGAGGUACGGCCCAGACUCCUACGGGAGGCAGCAGUGGGAAAUAUUGCACAAUGGGCGCAAGCCUGAUGCAGCGACGCCGCGUGGGGGAUGACGGCCUUCGGGUUGUAAACUGCUUUCGCUAGAGACGAAGCGCAAGUGACGGUACCUGGAGAAGAAGCACCGGCUAACUACGUG
This 466-nucleotide ribosomal RNA is filed under the name uncultured bacterium. RNAcentral describes it as "partial 16S ribosomal RNA". It matches the Rfam family "Bacterial small subunit ribosomal RNA", at positions 28 to 507 of the family's 1533-position model. The record is from RNAcentral.